UAGUCCUAGCCGUAAACGAUGGGUACUAGGUAGGGGGGACGCCUAUGGUCUUCUCUAUCGGAGCAAAUGUGUUAAGUACCCCGCCUGGGGAGUACGCUCGCAAGAGUAAAACUCAAAGGAAUUGACGGGGGAUCACACAAGCGGCGGAGCAUGUGGUUUAAUUCGAAGCAACGCGAAGAACCUUACCUGGUCUUGACAUGUAUGGAUUAGCUUUAUGAAAGUAAAGUGACAGCCCUUCGGGGUCGGAACAUACACAGGUGUUGCAUGGCUGUCGUCAGCUCGUGUCGUGAGAUGUUGGGUUAAGUCCCGUAACGAGCGAAACCCUUAUUGUUAGUUGCCAGCGGGUAAUGCCGGGGACUCUAGCGAGACUGCCGUUGUUAAAACGGAGGAAGGUGGGGACGACGUCAAGUCAUCAUGGCCCUUAUGGCCAGGGCGACACACGUGCUACAAUGGCUUGUACAAAGGGAACCGAGACCGUGAGGUGGAGGCAAUCCCACAAAGCAAGCCCCAGUUCGGAUUGCAGGCUGAAAUUCG
RNAcentral lists this ribosomal RNA (534 nucleotides) under uncultured bacterium. RNAcentral describes it as "bacterial SSU rRNA". It matches the Rfam family "Bacterial small subunit ribosomal RNA", at positions 791 to 1314 of the family's 1533-position model. The record is from RNAcentral.